RNAcentral lists this long non-coding RNA (433 nucleotides) under Malus domestica (apple). Its description in RNAcentral is "long non-coding RNA (MDOM_LNC011691)". Lineage: Eukaryota; Viridiplantae; Streptophyta; Magnoliopsida; Rosales; Rosaceae. The record is from RNAcentral.
GGGACCCACCCCUGAUUUCUGUCCCCAGCCUCCCAUCUCUCUCUUCCUUCUUCUUCGUCUCUCUCCCCCGUAACUCUCCCUUAGCUCUCUCCCUCUCAGCUCUCCCGUACCUCUCUCCCUCAACCUCUCGCAUCUCUCUCUUCCCCCGGACUCACUAGGACCGAGUCACCAUCGAACAGAGGCUCGCAACGAACCCCGGACCCUGCCCUGCGAGUUCGACGGCACGGAGUAAGCUCCGGCGAGCACCGCCCAUUUCGAGGCCAUUUCCGGCCAAACAAAGCGAGUUGGCCGGCGUGUAAGGUAUCAAUCUCUUCGUCUCCUUGGGUACUACAACUUUCCUUUUUGUUUCACUCAAUUUCGUUGAGUAUUGAAGAAGUUAUACUCAUUUGAAUCUUACCCAGUUUCCGGCGAUUCCGACGGCUUUCGAGGCAUU